This 253-nucleotide ribosomal RNA is filed under the name uncultured bacterium. RNAcentral describes it as "partial 16S ribosomal RNA". It matches the Rfam family "Bacterial small subunit ribosomal RNA", at positions 524 to 776 of the family's 1533-position model. The record is from RNAcentral.
UACGUAGGGCGCAAGCGUUGUCCGGAAUUAUUGGGCGUAAAGAGCUCGUAGGCGGCUUGUCACGUCGGGCGUGAAAGCCCGGGGCUUAACCCCGGGUCUGCAUUCGAUACGGGCAGGCUAGAGUGUGGUAGGGGAGAUCGGAAUUCCUGGUGUAGCGGUGAAAUGCGCAGAUAUCAGGAGGAACACCGGUGGCGAAGGCGGAUCUCUGGGCCAUUACUGACGCUGAGGAGCGAAAGCGUGGGGAGCGAACAGG